RNAcentral lists this transfer RNA (77 nucleotides) under Planctomycetota bacterium. RNAcentral describes it as "Planctomycetes bacterium tRNA-Ile". It matches the Rfam family "tRNA". Rfam says of the family: Transfer RNA (tRNA) molecules are approximately 80 nucleotides in length. Lineage: Bacteria; Pseudomonadati; Planctomycetota. The record is from RNAcentral.
GGGCCAGUAGCUCAGUUGGUAAGAGCGUCCGCCUGAUAAGCGGGAGGUCUGAGGUUCAAAUCCUCAUUGGCCCACCA